This 421-nucleotide ribosomal RNA is filed under the name uncultured bacterium. RNAcentral's name for it is "bacterial SSU rRNA". It matches the Rfam family "Bacterial small subunit ribosomal RNA", at positions 28 to 451 of the family's 1533-position model. The record is from RNAcentral.
GACGAACGCUGGCGGCGUGCUUAACACAUGCAAGUCGAGCGGUAAGGCCCUUUCGGGGGUACACGAGCGGCGAACGGGUGAGUAACACGUGGGUGACCUGCCCUCAGCUCUGGGAUAAGCCUGGGAAACCGGGUCUAAUACUGGAUAUGACUCCAUGACGCAUGUUGUGGGGUGGAAAGCCUUGUGCGGCUGAGGAUGGGCCCGCGGCCUAUCAGCUUGUUGGUGGGGUGAUGGCCUACCAAGGCGACGACGGGUAGCCGGCCUGAGAGGGCGACCGGCCACACUGGGACUGAGACACGGCCCAGACUCCUACGGGAGGCAGCAGUGGGGAAUCUUGCGCAAUGGGCGAAAGCCUGACGCAGCGACGCCGCGUGGGGAUGAAGCUUCUCGGAGUGUAAACCCCUUUCGACCCUGACGAAAA